Molecule: transfer RNA, 67 nt
Filed under: Cyrtodactylus nigriocularis
Lineage: Eukaryota; Metazoa; Chordata; Lepidosauria; Squamata; Gekkonidae
Description: tRNA-Ala
Source: RNAcentral
AGGCUUUAGCUUAAUUAAAGUGUCUGAGUUGCAUUCAGGAGAUGUAGUUAUGAUUUACAGGUCUUCA